Molecule: unclassified non-coding RNA, 921 nt
Filed under: Hevea brasiliensis (rubber tree)
Lineage: Eukaryota; Viridiplantae; Streptophyta; Magnoliopsida; Malpighiales; Euphorbiaceae
Source: RNAcentral
GGAUUCUUAAUUAUUUUUGUCAAAUUUCUAAAGCAAAAAACAGUGAUUAAUUUACCCCAUAGUAUAAGAAGGGGUUGGCAAAUUGAUCACAGUGGUCUUCACUUUAGUCAUCAUGUUAAUACUGUUAGUGAUCCCUUGUGAUCCAAUUCCGCUGUCCUUAAUACCCUGGAACGGAAAAUGAUCCGGUCCACGAGCAGGAGCUGAGUUAAUCUGAACGGUUCCGGUUUCCAUUGCAUCACUGAUCAGUAUUGCUUUGUUGAUGUCUUUGGUGAACACACAACCCUGCAGACCGAAAUUGCUAGCAUUGCAGUGGUGAAUUCCUUCUUCGACUGAGUUUAUCCGAAUAACGGGCAAAACUGGACCAAAGGGUUCUUCCCAAGCGAUUCUCAUGUCCGGCCUAACAUUGUCUAACAACAAGGGCCAGAUAAGGUUGCCUUCUCUCUUGUAUGGCUGGCAAAAUGUUGCAUCUUUCUCCUUUGCGUCCAUGACCAACCCCUCGAUGAAAUUUGCGGAUGACUCGGAGACAACUGGAGUGAUAUCACAAUUAUCUUCAGGUGGCCCAACGGUUAACUUUGCCACUUUGGCAUUUACCUUCUCAACAAGAAUGUCAGCAACAGAUUCCAUCACCAACACGACCUUAACAGCUGUGCAUCUUUGACCACUGUAAGAAAAUCCUCCUUUCACAAUGUUUCCAGCAGCCAAAUCUAAAUCAGCAUCCUCGAGCACGAUACAAGCAUCCUUUCCUCCCAGCUCCAUCUGUAGAGGGACCAUUCCUGCUUUCUUCGAGAUUGCAACACCGGUGUCUCCACCAGUGAAGCUUAUACAGUUUACUCCAGGAUGCAUAGUGAGAAAAUCUCCGAUUUCAGAACCUUUUCCGGUCACACAACUGAUAAGGCCUUUAGGGAAUCCAGCUAAGUGGAA